GCAUAUCAAUAAGCGGAGGAAAAGAAAAUAACAAUGAUUCCCCUAGUAACUGCCAGUGAAGAGGGACAAGCUCAAAUUUUAAAUCUAUCGGGUUUUACCUGAUCCAGUUGUAAUUUGAAGAAGCGUUUUCUGCGUAUUUGGUCCGCCUAAGUCCUAUUGAAUGAGGCAUCAUGGAGGGUGAUAAUCCCGUCCGGUUGAUCAUUUGCGUUUUACGAUACGCUUUCUAAGAGUCAAGUUGUUUGGGAUUGCAGCUUAAAAUGGGAGGUAAAUUUCUCCUAAGGCUAAAUAACGGCGAGAGACCGAUAGCGAACAAGUACCGUGAGGGAAAGAUGAAAAGAACUUUGAAAAGAGAGUUAAACAGUACGUGAAAUUGUUGAAAGGGAAACGAUUGAAGCCAGUCGUACCUUCGGGUAAUUAGCCUUUUCGGGUGCGAUUCUGUGGGGUUUGAGGAGCUUAACACCUUCAUGCUUUGCAUAUUCGUGCUCUUGGGUGUACUUGCCCGUGUGGUUGGUUAACAUCAAUUUCGGGCACCAUAAAAUGGCUGGAGGAAUGUAGCUUCGAUCUUGUAUUGAAGUGUUAUAGCCUUCGGUAGAUGUGGUGAUCGAGAUUGAGGAUUGCAACGGAUACCUUUCGGGGCUACCUGUCUGGUCUCUGAUCG
RNAcentral lists this ribosomal RNA (658 nucleotides) under uncultured fungus. Its description in RNAcentral is "LSU rRNA". It matches the Rfam family "Eukaryotic large subunit ribosomal RNA", at positions 38 to 646 of the family's 3401-position model. Lineage: Eukaryota; Fungi. The record is from RNAcentral.